Molecule: ribosomal RNA, 435 nt
Filed under: Ambrysus californicus bohartorum
Lineage: Eukaryota; Metazoa; Arthropoda; Insecta; Hemiptera; Naucoridae
Description: partial 16S ribosomal RNA
Source: RNAcentral
GUCCUUUUGAUAUUUAUUUAAGGUCUGACCUGCCCUAUGAUUAUUUAAAUGGCCGCGGUACUCUGACCGUGCAAAGGUAGCAUAAUCAUUUGUCUUUUAAUUGAAGGCUUGUAUGAAUGGUUGGACGAGAAAUAAUCUUUCUUUAUUUAAUUUAUAUAAAUUUAAUUUUUGAGUCAAAAAGCUCAAAUUUUUUUAUAGGACGAGAAGACCCUAUAGAACUUUAUUUUUUGUUGUUUAUAUUCUUUUUGGUUUAUAAUAUUAGUAUAAAUUAUAAUAAAUUUUGUUGGGGUGACGUAGAAAUUUCUUUAACUUUCUAAUAUUUUUUUCAUAAAUUAAUGAAUUUUUGAUCCAUUAUUAUUGAUUAAUAGUUCAAGUUACCUUAGGGAUAACAGCGUAAUUUUAUUGGAGAGUUCUUAUCGAUAAUAGAGUUUGCGA